RNAcentral lists this transfer RNA (71 nucleotides) under Limosilactobacillus reuteri. RNAcentral's name for it is "tRNA-Gly". It matches the Rfam family "tRNA". Rfam says of the family: Transfer RNA (tRNA) molecules are approximately 80 nucleotides in length. Their secondary structure includes four short double-helical elements and three loops (D, anti-codon, and T loops). The record is from RNAcentral. Lineage: Bacteria; Bacillati; Bacillota; Bacilli; Lactobacillales; Lactobacillaceae.
GCGGGUAUAGUUUAGUGGUAAAACUACAGCCUUCCAAGCUGUUGUCGCGAGUUCGAUUCUCGUUACCCGCU